CGUGUUCGUUCCCUCGGGGAUCCUCGGAGAGUAGAGAGUUUACCUCUCUUGACCGUCGUCUGUUGUCCCCGCCGUAGGGAGGGGGGACGUAUCUACAUUCCUUUCCCCUCGCUCCCACCUUCCAGAACGAGGGCGACAUCCUGAAGGAGAGCAAAAGGCAAGGACCCUCUUCUAGGAAUUUCCCCUCCUCAGCUAGGAGUACAGCUUGGUCUCAGGUUUAAGAAGAAUAAAUAAAAUGGAGAUACAUUUGAGGCCUGGCUCUGCACACAAAAAUGGAUAAUAGGCUCAUUCUGGCUCUUGCAUCCCAGAUGAAGGUGGAGGUUCCUUCUGCAGGUAGACACCAUAAUGCUUUGCUUGCCUUUGACUCACCUUCUUGUUGUGCUAUAAUAUUCAUAUGUUGACAUAUUCAUGUUGUUCAUAUUGUUGACAUAUUCAUAAUUGUUAUAUUCAUAACAUAUUCAUAUGUUCCUGCAUCGGAACCCAGAGAAGGAGCAGUCUAAGGAUGAAACUUAUCCAGUCUUUAGCUGACAGAGCCAUUCCAAUCGAUAACAGCAAAUAUCCUAACAUAAAGUGAAUGAUGAAUUGGCGGUACAAAAUCAAGUAACUCCUUUCAUGCUGCAUCUCCUGUGACAAGGUGUUUAAAAUAGGAGCACGUGGGAUCCCAGCCACAGCGGAUUUUUGCUGGUGGCAGAAAGACGAGAAAAAGAAUUGGAAGAAUUACCAUUGAAAGGUUGACUGAAGAACUCAUUUCAGAAGGACAUUGUUUUCAAUAUGAAGUUUAUUUGUACCCAUAAGGAGCAUGACUGAUCAGACUAGAGUUCUACUCUAUCUAGUUUUCUGGAUAUCGAUAAAGAAGAUAGUGUUCUAGGAUCAUCUUGAUUAUCUCCCAUGAAAGACGCUCAAGAGAAGAGAAUGCCCAGCUUGAAUUCUGUAUGGCUUUAGACAACUUCAGGAAGUAAUCUGUUACUGAGUAAAUCCUAGUGAACUUUUCUACUUUAUAAAAACAAACAUAUGAUCAAGAGAAAGUAAAGUCCACAUGAACUUAAAAACCAACGGUUUGAGCCGCAAUCAUUGUAUAUCUGGAUAGUGAUCUGUAAUUACUUCGUGUGGGUGAAAUGUCUAGGAUUUGCCAUUCUGAACUUUAUUUUUUGAUUUAAAACUUUUUUUCUUUUUAAUUUUUAUUGAAGUAUAGUUGAUUUACAAUGUUGUUUUAGUUUUACGUGUACAACAAAGUGAUUCACUUACAUAUAUAUAUUUUCUUUAUGGUAUAUCCAUAUAUGUGUAUACAUAUACAUAUAUAUAUUCAUUUUCAGAUUCUUUUCCAUUAUAGGUUAUUAGAAGAUAUUGAGUAUAGUUCCCUGUGCUACACAGUAGGACCCUGUUGGUUUGAACUUUCUCUAAAUACAAACAUGUCCUAAGGUUUCAGUGUUAGCAGGCAUUUGUUGUUAAACAAUCAGGUAGGCAGCCGAGAUAGCAUGGUUAUUUAGUAAAUUCAGUGCAAGGAAAAGGCUUCUUGGGGCCGUAUUUACACACCAGGCCAUGGGGAUUUGACAGAACAGAGGAACUCCAUCCCCUUGGGCAAGUUACCUCUGUAACCUCAGUUUCUUCACUAGUAACAAUAUCCGCCUCAUUUGGCAUUUGAGAGCAUUAAAUUAGCAGGCCUAGGAGAGUGCCUGGCAUAACAGCUAAUGUCUAUUAACUUGUUUCAGGCCUGUCUCCCAUAGAGCCAGAAUUUGCAGCCAGCUGAGUGGAGAGGUGAAAUCUGUCCUUAUCUACCAUUUUUCUGAACAAGUCAGAUUCUUCCCUGAGGCACGGGUGCCAGGGAAGGAGUUGGAGGCCUCAUCUGACAACUUUCAGGUGGACUUAUUCUAAAGCCGAAGUACAUGCAAGUACGAGAAUGGAAACAACUCAGAGGGCUAAUCUUUUCGGUAUCAAGCCUAGAACUUUUGAGAUUUGAUUUCUCACCCCCAAGUUACAGGUCUUCAGCCCCUGUGGUUCAGUGGAAAGGUGCAGAAGUGGAAACUCUAGGCUGUCUCUGGUAGACACCCCCUCUGUAGUAUGUGCUACAUACUUUCUUUUCUCAUUUAUUUCAGUUUCCCCAAGGAGAUGAUUGGAACACUCAUGUACUCUCUUCUCCAAGACUUCUAGACCCUAGUUAUCCUUUAAAAUUUGUCAUUGGACGCUUGCAUUUAUGCAUUUCACCUUUUUUCCCAAUAAAAUCUCAGUACAGAGAAAUGCCCUAAACAGACCCUUUGAUAAACUUGCAACCUAACGAGAAGCUUAUUUCAUCAAGUUCUACAAAAUAAUUGUGCUUGUCCAAGAAAUUUGCAGAUGCCCUUUACACACUUUUUUUUUUUCUUUUUUUUUUUUUUUUUGCAGUACGCAGGCCUCUCACUGUUGUGGCCUCUCCCGCUGCGGAGCACAGGCUCCGGAUGCGCAGGCCCAGCGGCCAUGGGUCAUGCGCCCAGCCGCUCUGCGGCACGUGGGAUCCUCCCGGACCGGGGCACGAACCCGUGUCCCCUGCAUCGGCAGGCGGACUCACAACCACUGCGCCACCAGGGAAGCCCCCCUUUACACACUUUUAACAAUGUUUUUAAAUAGAUGCUUUUAACAAUGCUUUUAAAGUUUAGGACAACUUCAUAAUGCGGUCUAGAGUUGUAGAAAGCAUAUCAGAUUAGGGAUCUGAGGACAGGGCUUCAAAAUUUGCAAAAACACCUGGACACUGAGAUGCAGACAUGUCAGCUAUAUGAAGCCUUGCCUUCAAACAACAGCUAUUUAAUUAAAUCUGUGCAAUAAAGCUUUAUUGGUGAGACUGUAGAGGUGGACACAGGUGACAAUGUGAGAAUGGAUGGAGAGAUGACAGAGAAUAAACAGGAAUGGGUCCUAGCAAUAUGUGGGUUAGUCCUAAGACACAAAUGGCAUAUUUUAGGCAGAAGUGGGAAAAAUAUUCUAGCUGGAUAUAAUAUAUAAAAUAUUCAAGGCAGCAUGGAGUGAUGCAGGAUCAUAUAUGAGUAAUGACAAGUAACUUAGUAUGGCUACGGUGGAAACUGGGUUCUGUAAAGAGGGGAGAGGCCAGAAAGUAACAAGCUGGAGAGGUAGGCAGGGCCCAGAUAAUAUGGAACUUUAUAACAAGUUCAUGAUUGGGGGUUUGAUCCUGAAAGCAGAACAAAUCUUCAUGAGUUUUUUUUUUUUUUUUUUGGCGGUACGUGGGCCUCUCACUGUUGUGGCCUCUCCCGUUGCGGAGCACAGGCUCCGGACGCACAGGCUCAGCAGCCAUGGCUCACGGGCCCAGGCGCUCCGCGGCAUGUGGAAUCUUCCCAGACCGGGGCACGAACCCAUGUCCCCUGCAUCGACAGGCGGACUCCCAACCACUGCACCACCAGGGAAGCCCCUCUUCAUGAGUUUUAAGUUGAAAAGUACAGUGGGCCUGGGCUGUCCAAACUCUAUAUAUUCCAAAGGUCUUUAGGACUGGUCCUUGACCACUCUUUGGAGAUAACUUCUGAGCUUGGAAUAUGCCACCUGAGAAGAGUAUUUUGUAUAUCUGGGCUUUGGACCACACCAUAUAGCUUACACUAAUAAUGUGAUUUAUGGUAAGUGCCUAUUUUUGUAUACUUAGGGGCUUUAGGCUACACUACAUCAGUUUGACCUUGGUGGGGAGGGCUGGAGACUGUGCCUACGUGCCUACAUAACUGACCCCCAAUAAGAACCCUGGACACCAGGGCUUGGGUGAGCUUCCCUGGUCAGCAACACUUCACACAUGUUGUGAAAAGGCUGGGAAAAUUAACUGCUGUCUGUGCUCCUCCACUGGGAAAAGAUAGUUGGAAGCUUGUGCCUGGUAUAUCCUAGACUCUGCCUUAUAUGACUUUUUCCUUUGCCGAUUUUAAUCUGUAUCCUUUAACAAUAAUAAACCGUAACCAUCAGUAUAACAGCUAUUCCGAAUUCUGUGAGCCCUUUUAGUGAAUUAUCAAACUGAGGAUGUUCUUGGGCACCCCACACACAAGACAUAAAAAACAACAUUUACAUUUAACAUUUAAGAAUUAAUACAUUUGGUCAUGAGAAUGAUGGAUUUGAGGGGGCUGUUAUUAGGGAGUCCAGAAAGGAGACGUAAAGGCCUCAAUGAAAGCAGUAUUAGUAGAGACGGGAGUGUUGAUGACAAAUGAAAAAGCCUUGAUGACUGAUGGUGUGUGCAGGGGAAGUUGGGGAGUAAGUGGUGUAGGAAUUGGGAUCAGCGGUCUUGAGUAACUACACUUAUAGUAGCUACAUUUUCUAAGAUUGGAUGCACAGGAAAAGACCAGUUCUGGAAUAAGAAGGAUGAAUUCUGCUGCAGGCAUGUCAGAAUUAAAUGCUUGGCCAAGAUCUAGGUAGAUAGGUCUAAGGGGAACAUCUCCAAUCUGAGAUAGAUGUAACCAGGUGUGGGAAACAUCCCCAACCAGAAAGUAGCUGAGGCUAUGGAAUAAGAAAGAUCACCCUGAAGAAAUAUGCAGAGAGCAAUGAGAAGAGAGUCAAGUCCAGCACCUAGUGGCACACUGGCUGGUUGUUUAACCCCCAUGUCUUCUGUAAGGCAAGGGGCCGUGCUGGCUCUUCUCUACUAAAUUUCUCCUUACCUAUGUAGGUCCUCUGGCUCUCCUCCAACUCAACAGAACACUUGUCUAUUUCUUGCAGAUUUAGUGCCUGUCAUAUCAUAGGUACUCAAAUACUUCUUUAACAGGGCGAUUCUGAAACAAAUUAAGAACAGCUACUACAGGGGGACCUCCCUGGCGGUCCAGUAGUUAAAACUUCGCCUUCCAAUGCAGGGGGUGUGGGUUCGAUCCCACAUGCCUUGCAGCUAAAAAACCAAAAAACAUAAAACAGAAGCAAUAUUGUAACAAAUUCAAUAAAGACUUUAAAAAGCAUCCACAUCAAAAAAAAAAAAAAAAGAAAGAAAAAAGAACAGCUACUACAGGAAAGAGGUAACAUUUUUGGCUACCAGGGUUGAAAUCCUAUGAUUAGAUGAGAAAAUCAUCACUCAUUUAAGUGCCACGUACAGUUUGUCAGCUGGAAACAGUUAUAAAAGUUGAGAAGUUGGGCGUGGGAGGGCAGAAAGACAUGCACAAGCCAGAAGGACUCUACUACCUUUUAGAGCUGGUAAAUCUUUUACAGUAGAUGAGGAAUCUCUUAAGUUACGUCUAACUCAGCUAUUGCCAGCACUCAAGUAUUUCUUUGAUGGUGUUCCACAGAAUGCUCAUCCCCAGAGAGAUGCUUCACAAAUAGAAAGUUUCUUUGUCAAGUGGGUUUGCGAAAUGCUACAUAUGCCUGGAGUUUCAUCAUGCACAAGAGUACUCUAAAGACUCUGGGAGGGCUUCCCUGGUGGCGCAGUGGUUAAGAAUCCGCCUGCCAAUGUAGGGGACAUGGGUUCGAGCUCUGGUCCGGGAAGAUCCCACAUGCCACAGAGCAACUAAGCUUGUGCACCACAACUACUGAGCCUGCGCUGUAGAGCCCGCGAGCCACAACUACUGAAGCCCACGUGCCUGGAGCCCGUGCUCCUCAACAAGAGAAGCCACUGCAAUGAGAAGCCUAUGCACCGCAACGAAGAGUAGCCCCCGCUCGCCACAACCAGUGAAAGCCCACACACAGCAACAAAGACCCAAUGCAGCCAAAUAUAAAAAUAAAUUAAUUAAUUAAUUAAAAAUAAAUAAAUAAACGCAAGUAGAAGCUUUAAUCUUUUCUCCCACACCCCAGUGCAUUUUCUUGUUUAUUCCCUAUGGUUCAUGCACCUCUCUAUGAAGACCCUAGAUGAUGUCCUGCCCCCUCCAUUUAUUUCAGCUCUGACCUGUAAAAUGGGUGAGAGGGAAAACCUUACAUCCUUUAUGAGAGUGGAGCUUUAAACUGAAGUAGAAUUUUUUAAAAAGACUUCAUUUUUAAAAAGCAGUUUUAGGUUUAUAACAAAAUCGAGAGGAAGGUACAGAGAUUUCCCAAAUACCUCCUGCCCUUGCACAUGGGUAGCCUCCCCCGUUAGUAACAUCACCUACCAGAAUGAUACAUUUUUUUUUUCUUUUGGCCACAUCACACGGUUAGUUCCCAAACCCGAUCCCCAGGGAUCAAACCCGGGCCCCCACAGUGAAAACGCCCAAGUCCUGACAAUUGGACCGCCAGGGAAUUCCCAAAUGGUACUUUUUUUUUUAACCAAAGAUGGACUUACAUUGAUACAUCAUAAUCAUUCAAAGUCCAUAGUUUACCUUAGGGUUCACUGUUGGUGUUGUACAUUCUAUGGGUUUGGACAAAAGUAUAACAACAUAUAUCCAUCAUUAUAAUACCUGUAAAAAACAAAAUUCAACCAAGUAAAUUUAAAGAUCUAAUUGGCUCUGUUUUAACUUACUGUUUAACUUACUGUGAGUAUUUAACUUACUGUGAGUAUUUUCACUGCCCUAAAGUCCUCCAUGCUCUGCCUAUUCAUCUCCCCCCAGCCCCUGCAACCAUGGAUCAUUUUGUUGUUUCCAUAGCUUUGCCUUUUUCAGAAUAUCAUAUAGUUGGAAUCAUAUGGUAUGUAGCCUUUUCAGAUUGGCUUCUUUCACUUAGUAGUAUGCACUAUGGUUCUUCCAUGGCUUUCCAUGGCUUGAUAGCUCGUUUCAUUUUAGCACUGAGUAAUAUUCCAUUGUCUAGAUGUACCACAGUUUAUCAGUUUACCUACUGGAAGACAUAUUGGUUGCCUCCAAGUUUUGGCAGUUAUGGUUAAAGCUGCUACGAACAUCAUGUGCAAGUUUUUGUGUGCACAGAAACUUUCAUCUCCUUUGAGUAAAUACCAAGGGGCGUAAUUGCUGGAUCUUAUGGUAAGAGUAUGUCUAGUUUGGUAAGAAAUUGCUGAACUGUCUUCCAAAGAGGCUGUACCAUUUUGCAUUCCUGUUAGCAAUGUAUGAGAAUUCCUGUUGCUGCACAUCCUUGCCAGCAUUUGGUGUUGUCAGUGUUCUGGAUUUUGGCCAUUCUAAUAGGUGUGUAAUUGUACUGCAUUGUUGUAUUAAUUUGCAUUUCCCUGAUGACAUAUAAUGUGGUGCAUCUUUUCACAUGCUUCUUUGCCAUCUGUAUAUCUUCUUUGGUGAGGUGUUUGUUAAGCUUUUUGGGCUGCUUUUUAUUUUUAUUUUAUUUUAUUUUUGCGGUACACGGGCCUCUCACUGUUGUGGCCUCUCCCGUUGCGGAGUACAGGCUCGGGACGCGCAGGCUCAGCGGCCAUGGCUUACGGGCCUAGCCGCUCUGCGGCAUGUGGGAUCUUCCCGGACUGGGGCAUGAACCCGUGUCCCCUGCAUCGGCAGGCGGACUCUCAACCACUGCGCCACCAGGGAAGCCCUCUUCUGCCCAUUUUAAAAUCAGGUUGUUUGUUUUUUGAUGUUGAGUUGUAUGAGCUGUUUACAUAUGUUGAAUAUUAGCCCCUUAUUGGUCAUAUAAUUUGCAAAUAUUUUCUCCCAUUCAGUAUGUUGUCAUUUUGUUUUGUUGACGAUUUCCUUUGCUGUGCAAAAGUUUUUAAGUUUAAUUAGGUCCUAUUUGCUUAUUUUUGGUUUUAUUUCCUUAUUGCUCCUUAUUGCUUUAGGAGACAGAUCCAAAAGGAUAUUGCUACGAUUUAUGUCAAAGAGUGUUCUGCCUGUGUUUUCCUCUAGGAGGUUUGUGGUUUUCAGUUUUAAUUUAGGUAUUUAAUCCAUUUUGAGUUUAUUUUUGUAUAUGGUCUUAGAGAAUGCUCUAAUUUCAUUCCUUUACAGGUAUCUGUACUGUUUUCCAGAGCACCAUUUAUUAAAGAGACUGUCUUUUCUCCAUUGCAUAUUCUUGUCUCCUUUGUUGUAGAAUAAUUGACCAUGAGUGCAUGGGUUUAUUUCUGGGCUCUCUAUUCUGUUCCAUUGAUCUAUGUAUCUGUUUUUGUGCCAGUACCAUACUGUUUUGAUUACUGUAGCUUUGAAGCAUAGUCAAGUCAGGGAGCAUAAUUCCUUCAGCUCUGUUCUUCUCUCUCAAGGUUGUUUUGGCUAUUCGGGAUCUGUAUGAUAUCACUUAUAUGUGGAAUCUAAAAAAUACAAUAAACUAGUGAAUAUAACAAAAAAGAAACAGACUCACAGAUAUGGAGAACAAACUGGUGGUUACCAGUGGGGAGAGGGAAGGGGGGAGGGGCAAUAUAGGGAUAGGGGAUUAAGAGGUAUAAAUUAUUAUGUAUAAAAUAAUCUACAAGUAUAUAUUGUACAAUAUGAGAAUAUAGCCAAUAUUUUAUAAUAACUAUAAAGUAUAAUCUUUAAAAAUUGUGAAUCACUAUAUUACACACCUGUAACUUACAUAAUAUUGUAUAUUAACUCUACUUCAAUUAAGAAGCUGUACUGUUUCUGAUGAAAACUUAUUAAAAUUGUAAGGUUGUACCCUAUUUAUUCCCCUAUUGAUAGGCAUUUAUGUUUUUUCCAUUACUUUGCUGUUAUAAAACUGUUAAAAUGAAUAGCCUUGAGCAUAUGCCAUUUCAUUUUUUUGCCAAUAUAUUUUUGUGACAGAUUCUUAGAAUGGGAUUCCUGAAUCAAGAGGUAAAUGCAUAUUGUUUUACUCUGUACUCAUUAAACAACAACUCCCCUCUUCUUUCCUGCAGCCCCUGGUAACCACAGGGAUAUAAAGUUUUUUCAAAAACCGCAAAACAGAAACCCAAAAUGGAUGGGUAUCUUUAUCCUUAUAUCUGUGUCUCUGAGUUUUCAGAAUAAUAUCAAGAUAAUUUUUCAAUAGACAAGCUUUCUUGAAUUACAGUUUAUUAAUCUGAUUUUGUUUUAAUUUUAAUUUUUUUCUCUGAAUCACAAGAGUUUAGGUUCUCAUAGAAAUUUGGAAAAUAAAGAUACAAAGAUAAAAAUAAGAAUCGUGCAAUUGCACCAACAGAAGAUAACCAGUAACCAUUUCGAUAUGCUUCAUUCAUUUUCCAGAUUUUUCUUCUUCACUCUUCUGCUUGUUCCAGAGACAGCCCCAUAAGAGGAUCUCAGGCACAAAGCCUUGCAGAGGUGAGACAGACACAGCAGCAUCUUCACAUUUGAAGGAGGGCAGUGCGAGGUAUGGACUCUUCAUCAACCGGAUUAAUACAUUUUUAAAAAAUUUAUUUAUUUUUGGCUGUUUUGGGUCUUCGUUGCUGCGCACGGGCUUUCUCUAGUUGUGGCAAGUGGGGUCUACUCUUCGUUGUGGUAUGUGGGUUUCUCAUUGCGGUGGCUUCUCUUGUUGCGGAGCACGGGCUCUAGGCGUGCAGGCUUCAGUAGUUGUGGCAUGCAGGCUCAGUAGUUGUGGCUCGUGGGCUCUAGAGCACAGGCUUAGUAGUUGUGACGCACGGGCUUAGUUGCUCCGCGGCAUGUGGGAUCUUCCCGGACCAGGGAUCGAACCCAUGUCUGCUGCAUUGGCAGGAGGAUUCUUAACCACUGUGCCACCAGGGAAGUCCCCAGAUUAAUACAUUAUUGACACUAAAUUGCUUUUCUGAUUCAUAAAAAAAAGUCUUUCUCCCUAGAUUUAUGUGGGAUAAUUUAUCCCUUGUUGCCCAUGGAGACCUUCAGAAGAAAGAAAAUGGUUUUUACCCCAUGUUUUGGAGAGUCUGAAACCCAUAAGCUGUUUGGACAAGCCUUAAUUGGAUACCUGUUUUGUGCCAGGCAAGCCAGUGCUGGGCGUUCAAGAGGAGAGACCUAGGUCUUGCCUUGAGGAGCUCACUCCCGUGAGGAGAGAGUAACCUCAGAGUGUGGCACAUGGAUGCCCUGAUGCCGCAGGCUUUCAUAGGAGGCAGACAGGAGUUUGGCACCAUGUAGAAAUGAAUUUGAGUCUGGCUUCCCCUGCUUCUUGGUUCUUAGCUUCUCUGAGCCUCAGUUUCUUCCUGUGAAGAUGGGGACACCAGGGGUCUGAGGUUGUGAUAAGAUCAUGCACUGGAUGCCCUUAGCACACUGUAGCAGGUGAGAUGUGACGUCACCUUAGGUGCCAGUAUCUUUAGGAGGGCUUGGCAGUGGGGAUGGGGAGGGGUCCAGGGUUCCACUCUCAGAAGUAGUUAUGACUAAUUGGGUAGGGCUAGCACCAGGGACAAAGGGGGACAGAUGUGUGCCACAACUGUCAUCUCUUUUUGAUACUGAGCACCUACUGUGUACCUCUUCCCGGCCUCACAAGGGCCCUCAGAGGCCUUGUUGCCCUCGACCAGAUGAAGAGCCUGAGAAGGAGAGGGAGGGAGUGGAGUGGGGGGCUUGCUCAGACACAGCUGCAGCUUCACUCCCCUUUCCCACCACUGGUGCUCUGUCUUUUACCAGAACUCACUCUGUGACGUUGAGCCUGUCUUUGCCCCCCUCGGGAGAGCUGGUUUCAGGGGAAUCAGGGACGCCAGGCUUCCCACAUUUAAAGUUUUAAAGAGCGUUCCAGUCCCUUCCCCUCCCCCAAGUCUCCUCUCGUCGGACGCCCAGGUGAGCGCUGGGAGCUGCCCGCAGGUGAUGAUAAUACCAACAGAGUACCUCGCAUUUGCUCCGCGACCCGACCUGUGCUAAACUCCUUUCCUCCGUAAUUCUCCGCAAUGCCCAAUCCGAGACAUCCCGGGGCCGAAUUCGCCCCGCGGGCCCGGCCCCCUUUCGUGAUCAAGAUGCAGAGGCCCCGACGGCCUCCCAGCACCGCCCCACGUGCCGCCCCUGGCGGCUCCGCCCGGGCCCGCGCGCGAGAGAGACCGGGGGCGGGGCCUCGGGGAGGGGGUUCGGCCGGGCUCGGUGACUACACUGGCCCAACAGACCGCCCCACUCCUGCCACCCUCCGAUGGGUCCACUGUCUUUGUGCCCGCCAGUAGGGCUGUCGCUGCUGCUGCUACUGGGACCCGGACUCGGGCUCAGCUCAGGUGAGUGAGGGAUGGGCCCCCUCCAAGGACCCAGGAGUUCCUGGGGCUCCCCCAGUCCUCCCCAGGGUGCCAGGAGCCCUGCCUCCCCAGCCCUCCCAGGGGAUCCAGGAGCCCUACAGCCCCCAGCCCUACUUUCUGUGGUCCACCCACACGUUGCUUCCCAGCUUCGUGGGAGCCCUGUCCCCCCGCACUGUCACCCCUGUCCUCCCCUAGAGCCCCUCAUUCACAGCUUCCAGGGACCCAGAACUAGCCCAGUCCUCCCCCAGGGCCUCAGUGUCCUCCCCCAAAACCCUUUCCACUCACUGGCACCCUCUCCAGUGACCAGACCUCCCCAUCCACCUGGCCUGGUGCCCCGUGAACUGAGCCUUCACUCCACCUGUCCCUGGGGUCUGCAGUAGGACCACCAGGGGGACACGAGAGGCUGAAAGGAGCAGGGGAAGAAGGGGCCCAGCCCUACCUGGGGUCGGGGAAGAACGCAAUGUCCCCUUCUCAACCACCCCAGACGUCACCCUCGGAUAGGUCCCCUUGGCAUAUUACCCACAGGGACAUGUGCAGACGCCACAAGCACAGAGACACACAGGCACAGGACACCCCCAGCCUCAUCUGGGCACUCAGGUGCUGGGCUCAUGGACAGGCUCACACACAGACACAGGCAAAGACACCGCAAGGGAAACGCACACACCCACACACCCACACUCAGGGAUACCGAGACAGCCCCAUAUGGACACACAUACAGAGAGAAGCACACACACACAAACACACACACACCCUCAGACCCACAGGAAGCCUGGACAGCCUUGGCAUUCCCAGCAGAGGCUGUUGUGGGCAGACACAGCAAACAGCCCCCAGAAUGACCUGCCCCACCUAAGCUGGCAUGGAGGGAGUGUUUGCCUUGGUUACAAAUCCAGUGCUGGGUGUCCACCCAUGCCUGGGUUCUCCCUAGGGCUGAGUCCAGGACCCUGAGAUGCCAGAGGGUGGGUCAGGUCAGGGUGGGGAGACCUCUGGGGACAGCUUUAGGGUGUGGGUUUGGAACUGGGGUCCUGUCAGAUGUGCUUAUUUCUUUUUCAAGUUUUUAUUUCAUUUUAUUUAUUUUUGGCUGCACCACGUGGCACGCAGGAUCUUAGUUCCCCGACCAGGGAUGGAACCCACGCCCCUGCAGUGGCAGCACAGAGUCUUAACCACUGGACCGCCAGGGAAGUCCCCAGAUGUGCUUAGACUGGGAGCGUUCCAUGGGGCUUGGUGGAUCCAGGGGUCAAGGAAGCUUUUCUGAAAGCCCACUGCAUGCCAGGGGAUCCGGAGCUGCCCGCAGCAGAGAUCUGUCCAGGCUGAAGGGUCAUGCCCAUGAGCAGACAGUGGCACAGCGUGACAAGGGCCCCUGUGGUCACAUGGGGGUGAAGCAGAUUCUAGAAGGAGGUGAUGGGUGAGCUGGGUGAGGAUGGGGUGAGGGCACUUGCAGCAUGGGGUGUAUGUGACAGGCAGUUUAACUGGAGGAACAGGACAUGAUGAGUGGGGUCCAUGUGGGGCACGUUGAGAGAGGGUGCUGGAGCGGGGGGAGGGUCAGCUCCUGCAGGGCCUCUGAUCAGUGAGGACCCUGAGCUUUACCUGGAGGGGGACGGGAGCCUGGGGAGGUUUCAAGCAGAAGUGUGGGCAACUGGGGGCAGCACUCAGGAAGUCCUGUGAGAGGAGGACGGGUCAUCCAGAGAGGAAGGCAAAGCUUUUAACUCUAAACUCGUUUUUACAUUUUGUUUCUAUUUAACUUAUCUCCAGUCCCCUAUACGAAUAUGCUGCUUUUCCCACUGAGAAAAAAACAAAAUUGAGGGAAUUCUCUGGUGGUCCAGUGGUUAGGACACCGAGUUUCCAUCGCUGGGGACACCACUGUUAUCCCCAAUCGGGGAACUAAGAUCCCGCAAGCCACGCGGCACAGCCAAAAAAAAAAAAAAAAAAAAAAAUUGAAUUGAAUUUUGGUUUGGACUCUUCAAAAAAGUCAGCAUGAUAAAUUCUUGUUCCAGAUAAAAAGACUUGAAACAGACAUGAUGAUUAAAGGCAAUGCAAAAAUCUCCUCUGGAUCCUCAGUCCUGGAGCAGUGGGCAGAGAGCGGGUUCCCAGGAAUCAGGCCAACCUGGGCACGAGUUUCUGCUCACCAGCUCACCAGCUCUGAGACCUGGGAUGGGUCCUUUUGCUUCUCGUAGCCUCAGUCUCUCCAUCUGUAAGUGGGAGAAUAGCCACCCGUGAGACAAGGAAGUUGACAACAGAUGUCGCCUAUAAAUUGGGGAGCACAGUGCCCGGUGCAGGGCGAGGUCCCAGUGAUAGCAUCUCCUUACUGUGGCUGAUUGUGUAUUUUGACUAAGCGCCAGAGUGGACUCAUGGCCCUCACCAGAAGAAGCAGUGGCUCUGGGAUUCUCUGAUGCCCAGCUCACAGCAGGUUUGGAGGCCCCUUACCCCGAGCAGUGGACCCCUUGAUGCCCCUAAGCUCUGUCACCCUGGCAGGGCUCCCUUCCUCCUUGGGCAAGGAGGAAGGAGCACUGGAUUGGGAGUCAGAAACCCCCAGUCAGGUCAGGUUCUUGUGGGCUGUGUGACUUUAGGGUUGUCCUUCCCACCUGGGCCUCCUCUUUCUUCCAUGUGAGAUGCAGGGGUUCCAGUCGCACCAACUAUGUACUGCUAUGUGUCACAGCCACAUGGGGGAUCCAGAAAAAUGGCUGGGAUGUGGCCGCAGGGCCUCCCCGUGUGGGAGGAAGCUGUGCCGGGCAGUGAAAAUAAGAGAUGCAAAGGGCCCUGAGCCAGAGUCUGGAGGGCAGUGGUGGGGGCAGUGGAGACCCAGGGAGAGGGAAGCCCCCGCAAAGGAGCCUGCCUUGAUGGCAGGGACUCUGUUCAGCUCACUUCUGAUGUCCAGUGCCCAGCACGGGCAACUGGACAGACGUUUGAUGUGCGACUUGCAAUCUGACUCUGUCUGGAGUUGAUAAGGGCAAAGGAUUGGGGAUCAGGGCAUUCCAGGAAGAGGGAACAGCCUGUGCAAAGGCCCAGAGGUGUGAGUUGUUUCAGAUGCUGUGGCUCUGUGACCUGUUUUCUCCUUCAUGGCUGCCUUGAAGGUAUUGAUAACAAUAGUUAGAGCUCAUUGUGUGCCGGGUGCUUUACAUGCAUGAUCUCAUUCCAUUCCAGGGAGUGAGAUCCCCUUAUUCCCCUG
Long non-coding RNA from Orcinus orca (killer whale), 13997 nucleotides. RefSeq lists it as uncharacterized. Lineage: Eukaryota; Metazoa; Chordata; Mammalia; Artiodactyla; Delphinidae. The transcript is spliced from 3 exons. The record is from RefSeq and is a predicted model, not a curated record.